AGAGUUUGAUCCUGGCUCAGAUUGAACGCUGGCGGCAGGCUUAACACAUGCAAGUCGAACGGUAACAGGAAGAAAGCUUGCUUUCUUUGCUGACGAGUGGCGGACGGGUGAGUAAUGCUUGGGAAUCUGGCUUAUGGAGGGGGAUAACUACGGGAAACUGUAGCUAAUACCGCGUAGUAUCGAGAGAUGAAAGUGUGGGACCGCAAGGCCACAUGCCAUAAGAUGAGCCCAAGUGGGAUUAGGUAGUUGGUUAGGUAAAGGCUGACCAAGCCGACGAUCUCUAGCUGGUCUGAGAGGAUGACCAGCCACACUGGAACUGAGACACGGUCCAGACUCCUACGGGAGGCAGCAGUGGGGAAUAUUGCACAAUGGGGGGAACCCUGAUGCAGCCAUGCCGCGUGAAUGAAGAAGGCCUUCGGGUUGUAAAGUUCUUUCGGUGAUGAGGAAGGUGUUUGUUUUAAUAGAACAAGCAAUUGACGUUAGUCACAGAAGAAGCACCGGCUAACUCCGUGCCAGCAGCCGCGGUAAUACGGAGGGUGCGAGCGUUAAUCGGAAUAACUGGGCGUAAAGGGCACGCAGGCGGUGACUUAAGUGAGAUGUGAAAGCCCCGAGCUUAACUUGGGAAUUGCAUUUCAUACUGGGUCGCUAGAGUACUUUAGGGAGGGGUAGAAUUCCACGUGUAGCGGUGAAAUGCGUAGAGAUGUGGAGGAAUACCGAAGGCGAAGGCAGCCCCUUGGGAAUGUACUGACGCUCAUGUGCGAAAGCGUGGGGAGCAAACAGGAUUAGAUACCCUGGUAGUCCACGCUGUAAACGCUGUCGAUUUGGGGAUUGGGUUUUAUGCUUGGUGCCCGUAGCUAACGUGAUAAA
RNAcentral lists this ribosomal RNA (867 nucleotides) under uncultured bacterium. Its description in RNAcentral is "bacterial SSU rRNA". It matches the Rfam family "Bacterial small subunit ribosomal RNA", at positions 8 to 864 of the family's 1533-position model. The record is from RNAcentral.